Molecule: ribosomal RNA, 274 nt
Filed under: uncultured bacterium
Lineage: Bacteria
Description: partial 16S ribosomal RNA
Rfam family: Bacterial small subunit ribosomal RNA
Source: RNAcentral
AUACGGAGGGUGCAAGCGUUAUUCGGAAUCACUGGGCGUAAAGGACGCGUAGGCGGGUUGGCAAGUCAGAUGUGAAAUCCUACAGCUUAACUGUAGAACUGCACUUGAAACUGCUAACCUAGAGUAUGGGAGGGGGAGAUGGAAUUAGUGGUGUAGGGGUAAAAUCCGUAGAUAUCACUAGGAAUACCGAAAGCGAAGGCGAUCUCCUGGAACAUAACUGACGCUAAGGCGUGAAAGCGUGGGGAGCAAACAGGAUUAGAAACCCUAGUAGUCC